UACGGAGGGGGCUAGCGUUGUUCGGAAUCAUUGGGCGUAAAGGGCGCGUAGGCGGCCGAUCAAGUCGGAGGUGAAAUCCCUCGGCUCAACUGAGGAAUUGCCUUCGAUACUGUUCAGCUUGAGUCCUGGAGAGGGUAGCGGAAUUCCCGGUGUAGCGGUGAAAUGCUUAGAUAUCGUCAAGAACACCUAUAGCGAAGGCAGCUUACUAAGCUGUAACUGACGCUGAGGCACGAAAGUGUGGGGAUCAAACAGG
This 253-nucleotide ribosomal RNA is filed under the name uncultured bacterium. RNAcentral's name for it is "partial 16S ribosomal RNA". It matches the Rfam family "Bacterial small subunit ribosomal RNA", at positions 524 to 776 of the family's 1533-position model. The record is from RNAcentral.